GACGAACGCUGGCGGCGGGCUUAACACAUGCAAGUCGAACGGAAAGGCCCUGCUUGUGUGGGGUGCUCGAGUGGCGAACGGGUGAGUAACACGUGAGUAACCUGCCCUUGACUUUGGGAUAACUUCAGGAAACUGGGGCUAAUACCGGAUAGGAGCGCCUGCUGCAUGGUGGGGGUUGGAAAGUUUAGGCGGUUGGGGAUGGACUCGCGGCUUAUCAGCUUGUGGGUGGGGUAGUGGCUUACCAAGGCUUUGGCGGGUAGCCGGCAUGAGAGGGUGACCGGCCACAUUGGGACUGAGAGACGGACCAGACUCCUACGGGAGGCAGCAGUGGGGAAUAUUGCACAAUGGGCGGAAGCCUGAUGCAGCAACGCCGCGUGCGGGAUGACGGCCUUCGGGUUGUAAACCGCUUUCGCCUGUGACGAAGCGUGAGUGACGGUAAUGGGUAAAGAAGCACCGGCUAACUACGUG
This 468-nucleotide ribosomal RNA is filed under the name uncultured bacterium. RNAcentral describes it as "partial 16S ribosomal RNA". It matches the Rfam family "Bacterial small subunit ribosomal RNA", at positions 28 to 507 of the family's 1533-position model. The record is from RNAcentral.